UGGGGAAUAUUGGACAAUGGGGGAAACCCUGAUCCAGCAAUGCCGCGUGAGUGAUGUAGGCCUUAGGGUUGUAAAGCUCUUUUACCAGGGAUGAUAAUGACAGUACCUGGAGAAUAAGCUCCGGCUAACUCCGUGCCAGCAGCCGCGGUAAUACGGAGGGAGCUAGCGUUGUUCGGAAUUACUGGGCGUAAAGCGCGCGUAGGCGGUUACUCAAGUCAGGGGUGAAAUCCCGGAGCUCAACUCCGGAACUGCCCUUGAAACUAGGUGACUAGAAUGGUGGGGAGGCGAGUGGAAUUCCGAGUGUAGAGGGGAAAUUGGUAGAUAUUCGGAAGAACACCAGUGGCGAAGGCGACUCGCUGGACAAGUAUUGACGCUGAGGUGCGAAAGCGUGGGGAGCAAACAGGAUUAGAUACCCGCGUAGUCC
This 424-nucleotide ribosomal RNA is filed under the name uncultured prokaryote. RNAcentral describes it as "bacterial SSU rRNA". It matches the Rfam family "Bacterial small subunit ribosomal RNA", at positions 355 to 796 of the family's 1533-position model. The record is from RNAcentral.